Molecule: ribosomal RNA, 369 nt
Filed under: uncultured bacterium
Lineage: Bacteria
Description: bacterial SSU rRNA
Rfam family: Bacterial small subunit ribosomal RNA
Source: RNAcentral
CAGGUCUUGACAUCCCAUUGACCGCUAUGGAGACAUAGCUUUCCNUUUGGGGACAGUGUGACAGGUGGUGCAUGGUUGUCGUCAGCUCGUGUCGUGAGAUGUUGGGUUAAGUCCCGCAACGAGCGCAACCCUUGUUUUUAGUUGCCAUCAUUAAGUUGGGCACUUUAAGGAGACUGCCGGUGACAAACCGGAGGAAGGUGGGGAUGACGUCAAAUCAUCAUGCCCCUUAUGACCUGGGCUACACACGUGCUACAAUGGACGGUACAAAGGGUAGCGAACUCGCGAGGGGGAGCCAAUCCCAUAAAACCGUUCUCAGUUCGGAUUGUAGGCUGCAACUCGCCUACAUGAAGCCGGAAUCGCUAGUAAUCG